CUGCAAGUCGUACGAGAAAUCCUGGGCAACUGGGAAAGUAAAGUGGCGUACGGGUGAGUAACACGUGGGUAACCUGCCCGGAGGUGGGGGAUAACCCUUCGAAAGGAGGGCUAAUACCGCAUGAUAUCCCGGGGUUCUCGGACCUCGGGAUCAAAGCCGGCCCCUACACGUAAGCCGGUGCCACCGGAGGGGCCCGCGUCCCAUUAGCUAGUUGGUGAGGUAAUGGCUCACCAAGGCGACGAUGGGUAGCCGGCCUGAGAGGGUGUGCGGCCACACUGGGACUGAGAUACGGCCCAGACUCCUACGGGAGGCAGCAGUGAGGAAUAUUGCGCAAUGGCCAAAAGGUUGACGCAGCAACGCCGCGUGAGGGAUGAAGCUCCUAGGAGUGUAAACCUCUGUUAGGAGAGAAGAACAGACAGAAUACGAACAGUUUUCUGUUUGGACG
This 445-nucleotide ribosomal RNA is filed under the name uncultured bacterium. RNAcentral's name for it is "bacterial SSU rRNA". It matches the Rfam family "Bacterial small subunit ribosomal RNA", at positions 55 to 474 of the family's 1533-position model. The record is from RNAcentral.